GCCAGUUUGGCUCAGUGGAUAGAGCAUUGGCCUGUAGACAGAAGGGUCCUGGGUUCAAUUCCCAGCAAGGGCA
RNAcentral lists this transfer RNA (73 nucleotides) under Myotis davidii. It matches the Rfam family "tRNA". Rfam says of the family: Transfer RNA (tRNA) molecules are approximately 80 nucleotides in length. Their secondary structure includes four short double-helical elements and three loops (D, anti-codon, and T loops). The record is from Rfam by way of RNAcentral. Lineage: Eukaryota; Metazoa; Chordata; Mammalia; Chiroptera; Vespertilionidae.